UAAGUAAGCGGAGGAAAAGAAACUAACUAGGAUUCCCUUAGUAAUGGCGAAUGAACAGGGAUCAGCUCAGUGCCAAAUCGGAAUCACUUGUGGUUCUGAAAUGUGGCUUGAAGGCAGUACCAGUGGCAUCGCGGACGAAAGUCUCUUGGAAAAGAGCGUCAUAGAGGGUGAGAAUCCCGUGAGUCGUUCGCCGUUUGUCACGUACGGUCUGCGUUCUAACGAGUCGCGUUCCUUGGGAUUGGAGCGUAAACGGGUGGUAAAUUUCAUCCAAAGCAAAAUAUAUACUCGAGACCGAUAGCACAAAAGUACCGUGAGGGAAAGGUGAAAAGAACUUUGAGGAGAGGGUUAAAUAGUGCCUGAAAUCGUUGAGAAGGAAGCGGAUGCCGCCGUUGCAUAUGCUGAUUGUAGGAUUGCUGCUCGCUCCUGUCUUCUGCUACUCAUUCACAGACCUGGUCGUGUUGAGCAGUUGUUUGGCAGAUGUUAGUGGUGUUUCCUACUUUCAGUCGUCAGCAUCACUGGCUGAGUGGAAAUAAUCCUUGGAUGCUAAUUGGUUCGCUAUCUGUGAAUUGGUUGCUUCCUUGCGAUACUCACUACUCGGUCAGUGAGGAAGUGCGUUUGCUGGUCAACGAGCUUUCUAACUGUCAUUACCCUGCGCUUUUCGAUUCGUCGAGUGGCCAGGAUGUGGCUUUGAGAUUGUUCGCACUUAGUAAUCGCGAUGCUGGCUUCCAACGGUUGCCUCCGGCCCGUCUUGAAACACGGACCAAGGAGUCUAACGUAUGUGCGAGUGUGUGAGUGGCAAACUUAUACGCGUAAUGAAAGUGAGGCCGUAUGGCCAUGUUGGGGUCACCAACAACCGACCUUGAUCUUCGGUGAAAGGUUUGAGUAUGAGCAUAUCCGUUAGGACCCGAAAGAUGGUGAACUAUGCCUGAGCAGGGUGAAGCCAGGGGAAACUCUGGUGGAGGCUCGUAGCGAUA
This 974-nucleotide ribosomal RNA is filed under the name Perkinsus marinus. RNAcentral describes it as "LSU rRNA". It matches the Rfam family "Eukaryotic large subunit ribosomal RNA", at positions 43 to 885 of the family's 3401-position model. Lineage: Eukaryota; Perkinsozoa; Perkinsida; Perkinsidae. The record is from RNAcentral.